RNAcentral lists this unclassified non-coding RNA (1524 nucleotides) under Hevea brasiliensis (rubber tree). Lineage: Eukaryota; Viridiplantae; Streptophyta; Magnoliopsida; Malpighiales; Euphorbiaceae. The record is from RNAcentral.
UUAGCAACCAUCAAAGCAUAACAGAAAUCCUGUCACAAAUCCUCGUCAACCAGUAUUAACCUGUAAACCAAUUUAAAUCACCCCCAAAUAUAAACUUCAAAAAGAAAAAAAUAAUUUUUAUCCAAACUCCUAACUAAAUGGCACAACCAACUAUAGUUCAGCUAACUGAUUGCUCAUGAUUCCCAUAUCCAUUGGAGGAUGCACCAUGAGCUGCUCCAGCACCAUACAUGGAAUCUUGGCUCUGCGAUGCACCAUACCCAUAACCACCGUAAUUCUGCCUUCCAUAAUAACCCCCAUUCCAUUGACUACCAGAGUCGGUUCUAAACUGCUUGUUUGCUGGAUUGCGACCCCAGGAAAGACGAACUGUCUGAGCUCCAAUAACUGUUCCAUUCAAUUUUUCUAUUGCAUCCUCUGCUGCACUCCUUUCUGAAAAUUGUACAAAACCACAUCCUUUUCCAGCUGGAAUUUUCACAGAAACAACAUUGCCAAACUGGCUAAAUGACUGCCUGAGCUCUUCAUCAGUAACUUCCGAGUCAAGUCCUCCCACAAAAACUGUUGUGUUGGAUAAAUCACUAUCAGUCUGGGAAGUCUGGGUUGCAGCACCAUUUGAUGCAUGUCCACCUGCUAAUAUUACAGCUUGUGAAAAAUAUUGUUGCAUUGGUGAUGGUUUCUUUGGAGUAGCAACACCAAUACGCAUAGCCCUGCUAGAACAAUAUAUGCCAUUCAUUUCAGUCAUGGCUCGCGACCUCUCACUUUCGUCAUCAAACCUAACAAAGCCAUAGCCUUUUGAACGACCUGUGUUCGAAUCUAUUACUACUUUUGCACCUUUCACAGAUGGAUAUCUACUGGAGAAUGUGUCACGCAACAUUGUAUCAGUGACAUCAGAGGCCAAAUCUCCUACAAAAAUCGAUAAAUCAGACCCGGAGCCAGCACCAGCACCAACAUCUGCACGCUUUUCACCAGAGCUAAAGGCUGACCAAUUUAGGCGGAAAGGUUGCUCUGCAUUUGGCAUCAUAGUGCCAUUGUAGCUCUGUAGGACUUUUUCUGCAGCUUCGUGGGUAUUGAACUCAAUAAACCCAUAACGCUCUGAUUGACCAGUCUGCUUAUUUCGAAUGACCUUCACAGAAAUAACCUCUCCAGCUUGAGCGAAGCAUGUAUGGAGAUAACCUUCAUCCAUCCACUGUUGAAGAUCGCCAAUCCAGAUCGUCCUGUUAUCUUCGCUUGCGUUUUGCUGAAUCUGAAUCAUCUGCUGGUGUUGUUGAUGAUAGUAGGGCAUGUACUGCUGACCAUACAUCAUCUGUUGCUGCAUUACCAUUGCCGCCGCUGGUGGAUACUGCUGCAUCGCCAUCCAUUGCUGCUGAUACUGCUGCAUCGCCAUCCACUGUUGCUGUUGUUGCUGCUGCAACUGCUGUUGUUGUUGUUGUUGAUUCAUGUCCCCAUUCAUCUUUCCACACUUCCCUCUUUCUCUCUCUUAGUAUCAGGAGGGUAUGGGUUUUGUUUUAGAGAGAGAGAAAAUGAGGCAGG